CUGAAAUUUCCUUGCAAUGAGAAAAUGAAACCAACCGAUAUAUAUACGCAUAUAAAAGUAAACUGAAACACAUACAGAAUGACGAGAGCAUCUGGAGAGGGUGGUAUAAGUAGAUGGUGAUGGAAGCAAAGAAGGUACAGUUGAAAUGAAGGAAAGUAGCACCAUUUCUUCUCUCUGCCUGUGUGGAGGUCGACAGGAAGCAGAAAGAUUAUAAACGGACUCAAUUAGAACGUGUAUGGUCUGUGUGGAGUGCUU
RNAcentral lists this long non-coding RNA (255 nucleotides) under Olea europaea subsp. europaea. The record is from RNAcentral. Lineage: Eukaryota; Viridiplantae; Streptophyta; Magnoliopsida; Lamiales; Oleaceae.